This 245-nucleotide ribosomal RNA is filed under the name uncultured bacterium. RNAcentral describes it as "partial 16S ribosomal RNA". It matches the Rfam family "Bacterial small subunit ribosomal RNA", at positions 111 to 354 of the family's 1533-position model. The record is from RNAcentral.
UAACACGUGAGCAACCUGCCUUUCANAGGGGGAUAACAGUUGGAAACGACUGCUAAUACCGCAUAACGCUGCGAUGGGGCAUCCCGAUGCAGCCAAAGGAGCAAUCCGCUGAAAGAUGGGCUCGCGGCCGAUUAGCUAGUUGGUGGGGCAACGGCCCACCAAGGCGACGAUCGGUAGCCGGACUGAGAGGUUGAUCGGCCACAUUGGGACUGAGACACGGCCCAGACUCCUACGGAAGGCAGCAG